Molecule: ribosomal RNA, 421 nt
Filed under: uncultured bacterium
Lineage: Bacteria
Description: bacterial SSU rRNA
Rfam family: Bacterial small subunit ribosomal RNA
Source: RNAcentral
UAAGGAAUAUUGGACAAUGGAGGCAACUCUGAUCCAGCCAUGCCGCGUGAAGGAAUAAGGCCCUAUGGGUUGUAAACUUCUUUUAGACGGGACGAAAGCCCUUUACGUGUAAAGGGUUGAUGGUACUGUCAGAAUAAGCAUCGGCUAACUUCGUGCCAGCAGCCGCGGUAAUACGAAGGAUGCAAGCGUUAUCCGGAAUUAUUGGGUUUAAAGGGUGCGUAGGCGGACUAAUAAGUCAGUGGUGAAAGCCUGCAGCUUAACUGCAGAAUUGCCAUUGAUACUGUUAGUCUUGAGUACAGUUGAGGUAGGCGGAAUGUGUCAUGUAGCGGUGAAAUGCUUAGAUAUGACAUAGAACACCAAUUGCGAAGGCAGCUUACUACAUAUAAAUUGACGCUGAGGCACGAAAGCGUGGGGAUCAAAC